AUGGACGAAAGUCUGACGGAGCAACGCCGCGUGAGUGAUGAAGGUUUUCGGAUCGUAAAACUCUGUUGUUAGGGAAGAACAAGUACGAGAGUAACUGCUCGUACCUUGACGGUACCUAACCAGAAAGCCACGGCUAACUACGUGCCAGCAGCCGCGGUAAUACGUAGGUGGCAAGCGUUGUCCGGAAUUAUUGGGCGUAAAGCGCGCGCAGGCGGUCCUUUAAGUCUGAUGUGAAAGCCCACGGCUCAACCGUGGAGGGUCAUUGGAAACUGGGGGACUUGAGUGCAGAAGAGAAGAGUGGAAUUCCACGUGUAGCGGUGAAAUGCGUAGAGAUGUGGAGGAACACCAGUGGCGAAGGCGACUCUUUGGUCUGUAACUGACGCUGAGGCGCGAAAGCGUGGGGAGCAAACAGGAUUAGAUACCCUGGUAGUCCACGCCGUAAACGAUGAGUGCUAAGUGUUAGAGGGUUUCCGCCCUUUAGUGCUGCAGCAAACGCAUUAAGCACUCCGCCUGGG
This 515-nucleotide ribosomal RNA is filed under the name uncultured Bacillus sp. RNAcentral describes it as "bacterial SSU rRNA". It matches the Rfam family "Bacterial small subunit ribosomal RNA", at positions 371 to 877 of the family's 1533-position model. Lineage: Bacteria; Bacillati; Bacillota; Bacilli; Caryophanales; Bacillaceae. The record is from RNAcentral.